AACGAACGCUGGCGGCAUGCCUAACACAUGCAAGUCGAACGAGACCUUCGGGUCUAGUGGCGCACGGGUGCGUAACGCGUGGGAACCUGCCCUUAGGUUCGGAAUAACUCCCCGAAAGGGGUGCUAAUACCGGAUAAUGUCUUCGGACCAAAGAUUUAUCGCCUUUGGAUGGGCCCGCGUUGGAUUAGCUAGUUGGUAGGGUAAAAGCCUACCAAGGCGACGAUCCAUAGCUGGUCUGAGAGGAUGAUCAGCCACACUGGGACUGAGACACGGCCCAGACUCCUACGGGAGGCAGCAGUGGGGAAUAUUGGACAAUGGGGGAAAGCCUGAUCCAGCAAUGCCGGGUGAGUGAUGAAGGCCGUAGGGUUGUAAAGCGCUUUUACCCGGGAUGAUAAUGACAGUACCGGGAGAAUAAGCUCCGGCUAACUCCGUG
This 433-nucleotide ribosomal RNA is filed under the name uncultured bacterium. RNAcentral's name for it is "partial 16S ribosomal RNA". It matches the Rfam family "Bacterial small subunit ribosomal RNA", at positions 29 to 507 of the family's 1533-position model. The record is from RNAcentral.